This 308-nucleotide RNase P RNA is filed under the name Oceanihabitans sp. 2_MG-2023. RNAcentral's name for it is "RNase P RNA component class A". It matches the Rfam family "Bacterial RNase P class A". Rfam says of the family: Ribonuclease P (RNase P) is a ubiquitous endoribonuclease, found in archaea, bacteria and eukarya as well as chloroplasts and mitochondria. Its best characterised activity is the generation of mature 5'-ends of tRNAs by cleaving the 5'-leader elements of precursor-tRNAs. Lineage: Bacteria; Pseudomonadati; Bacteroidota; Flavobacteriia; Flavobacteriales; Flavobacteriaceae. The record is from RNAcentral.
CAAGUAUUUCGCCUUAUCGCUGUCCCGAUAAAUCGGGAUGGAGGAAAGUCCGAACACCAUAGUGUAACAUAGUGGUUAACAGCCACCAGUCGUGAGAUUAGGAAAAGUGCAACAGAAAGUAUGUACAGGUAAUGCUGUAGUGAAACCAGGUAAACUCUAUGUGGUGCAAUGUCAUGUAAACUAAUGCUUGAGCGUACACGCGCGAUGUUAGAGGGUAGGCAGCUAAAGUGUAUUGGUAACAAUACACGUAGAUAAAUGAUAAGGACUCUUUUAGAGUACAAAAUUCGGCUUAUAGAUUUACUUUAUCU